Molecule: ribosomal RNA, 250 nt
Filed under: uncultured bacterium
Lineage: Bacteria
Description: partial 16S ribosomal RNA
Rfam family: Bacterial small subunit ribosomal RNA
Source: RNAcentral
UACGAAGGGUGCAAGCGUUAAUCGGAAUUACUGGGCGUAAAGCGCGCGUAGGUGGUUCAGCAAGUUGGAUGUGAAAGCCCCGGGCUCAACCUGGGAACUGCAUCCAAAACUACUGAGCUAGAGUACGGUAGAGGGUGGUGGAAUUUCCUGUGUAGCGGUGAAAUGCGUAGAUAUAGGAAGGAACACCAGUGGCGAAGGCGACCACCUGGACUGAUACUGACACUGAGGUGCGAAAGCGUGGGGAGCAAAC